This 586-nucleotide ribosomal RNA is filed under the name Micarea sp. RNAcentral's name for it is "SSU rRNA". It matches the Rfam family "Bacterial small subunit ribosomal RNA", at positions 427 to 1024 of the family's 1533-position model. The record is from RNAcentral. Lineage: Eukaryota; Fungi; Ascomycota; Lecanoromycetes; Lecanorales; Micareaceae.
GAAGCAGUCUCGAUUUAAUCGAAUAAAAUUCUGGAUAAAAUUAUGAUAAUGACAUUAUUUAUCCAUGAGUCUUGACCAAUAUACGUGCCAGCAGUCGCGGUAAUACGUAAAAGACUAGUGUUAUUCAUCUUUAAUAGGUUUAAAGGGUACCUAGACGGCAAAUUAAGCCUUAAUUGGGACUGAUUUGCUAGAGUUACUUAUGAGGAAGUUUUAAUGUACUAGAGGUGAAGAGAUGAAAUUCAGUCAUACCUUUUUUCUAACGAAAAAUUUCGGCACAGGUUUAGGUGAAAACAUCUUCUUAUGGGAUAACUGACGUUGAGGGACGAAGGCUUUUUAUCGCAAACAGGAUUAGAUACCCUGGUAGUCAAAGCAGAAAAUGAUGAGUGUCAUAGAUUAGGUAAAUAUUUAUUCUAUAAAUGAAAGUGUAAGCACUCCACCUCAAGAGUAAUUUGGCAACAUUGGAACUGAAAUCAUUAGACCGUGUCUGAAACCAGUAGUGAAGUAUGUUAUUUAAUUUGAUAAUCCGCAAAAAACCUUACCACAACUUGAAUGUUUAUGUAUUUAGUACUAUCAUAUGUCAUGCAUG